AUACGGAGGGUGCAAGCGUUAAUCGGAAUUACUGGGCGUAAAGCGUACGUAGGCGGUUCGUUAAGUUAGAUGUGAAAGCCCCGGGCUUAACCUGGGAACUGCAUUUAAAACUGGCGAACUAGAGUUGAGUAGAAGGGAGUGGAAUUUCAGGUGUAGCGGUGAAAUGCGUAGAGAUCUGAAGGAACACCAGUGGCGAAGGCGACUCCCUGGACUCGAACUGACGCUGAGGUACGAAAGCGUGGGUAGCAAACGGGAUUAGAAACCCUUGUAGUCC
Molecule: ribosomal RNA, 274 nt
Filed under: uncultured bacterium
Lineage: Bacteria
Description: partial 16S ribosomal RNA
Rfam family: Bacterial small subunit ribosomal RNA
Source: RNAcentral